Molecule: long non-coding RNA, 485 nt
Organism: Rosa rugosa (rugosa rose)
Lineage: Eukaryota; Viridiplantae; Streptophyta; Magnoliopsida; Rosales; Rosaceae
Exons: 3
Source: RefSeq, a predicted model, not a curated record
AGAAGUGCAGCUAUUUUACAUUGUCGAUGAGUCUGAAAGAGCUCCUGCAGACGAUCCUCUGUUGCUAUGGUUCAAUGGAGGCCCAGGUUGCUCUGGUCUUGCUGGAUUCUUUUUUGAGAGUGGUAUUUUCUCGUCCUUCAUUACAUCAGUUUCUGAAAACAUGUUGCACAAAGCUAUGAAUUUCUGCAGAAGGUAUGCAUCUUAUACAAUCUAUUUGUAAGAAAACUAGUGGCAUUUAUUCCACAGAUUUAAUGAAUAGUCUGCUUUGAAUUUGACAAUUCGUGUUGUCAUGCAGUGGCUGGAGGCACACCCUGCGGAAAAUAUGCUCUACAUUGGUGGUGACUCCUUCUCUGGCAUAAUUGUGCCAAUGAUUGUGUAACAAAUAUUGGAUGGUAAUGAAAAUGGAACUUUGCCUCUAAUGAAUCUCAAGGGAUAUGUAAUUGGGAACCCAGUGACAGAUUCAUUCAUUGAUGCAAAUGGAAGAA